AGAGUUUGAUCCUGGCUCAGGAUGAACGCUGGCGGCGUGCCUAAUACAUGCAAGUCGAGCGAACAGACGAGGAGCUUGCUCCUCUGACGUUGGCGGCGGACGGGUGAGUAACACGUGGAUAACCUACCUAUAAGACUGGGAUAACUUCGGGAAACCGGAGCUAAUACCGGAUAAUAUAUUGAACCGCAUGGUUCAAUAGUGAAAGACGGUUUUGCUGUCACUUAUAGAUGGAUCCGCGCCGCAUUAGCUAGUUGGUAAGGUAACGGCUUACCAAGGCAACGAUGCGUAGCCGACCUGAGAGGGUGAUCGGCCACACUGGAACUGAGACACGGUCCAGACUCCUACGGGAGGCAGCAGAAGGG
RNAcentral lists this ribosomal RNA (362 nucleotides) under uncultured Staphylococcus sp. RNAcentral's name for it is "bacterial SSU rRNA". It matches the Rfam family "Bacterial small subunit ribosomal RNA", at positions 8 to 359 of the family's 1533-position model. Lineage: Bacteria; Bacillati; Bacillota; Bacilli; Caryophanales; Staphylococcaceae. The record is from RNAcentral.